GACGGAGGGUGCAAGCGUUGUUCGGAAUUACUGGGCGUAAAGCGCGUGUAGGCGGCUAGCUAAGUCUGAUGUGAAAGCCCGGGGCUCACCCCCGGAAGUGCAUUGGAAACUGGCGAGCUCGAGUCCCGGAGAGGAGGGUGGAAUUCCUGGUGUAGCGGUGAAAUGCGUAGAUAUCUGAAGGAACAUCAGUGGCGAAAGCGACUUCCUGGACCAAUACUGACGCUCAUGUGCGAAAGCGUGGGGAGCAAACAGG
RNAcentral lists this ribosomal RNA (253 nucleotides) under uncultured bacterium. Its description in RNAcentral is "partial 16S ribosomal RNA". It matches the Rfam family "Bacterial small subunit ribosomal RNA", at positions 524 to 776 of the family's 1533-position model. The record is from RNAcentral.